RNAcentral lists this ribosomal RNA (476 nucleotides) under Blastocystis sp. RNAcentral's name for it is "SSU rRNA". It matches the Rfam family "Eukaryotic small subunit ribosomal RNA", at positions 459 to 954 of the family's 1831-position model. Lineage: Eukaryota; Bigyra; Opalinata; Blastocystidae. The record is from RNAcentral.
UGGAGGUAGUGACAAUAAAUCACAAUGCGGAACCUUUGGUUUUGCAAUUGGAUUGAGAAGAAGGUACAAAUCAUAUCGAUAAACAAUUGGAGGGCAAGUCUGGUGCCAGCAGCCGCGGUAAUUCCAGCUCCAAUAGCGUAUAUUAACGUUGUUGCAGUUAAAAAGCUCGUAGUUGAAGUUGGAUGAGUAUUUGAAUUCAAUUUUCGAAUUGAUUUCAAAUCCUUAUCAUUUCUAGUAGUUAUGCUUGGGUAUUCAAUUACUUGAGUAUGAUAGCUAGUCAUUUACUGUGAGAAAAUUAGAGUGUUUAAAGCAGACGUUUGUUUGAAUAGAUUAGCAUGGAAUAAUAAUGAUAUGCUUGAUUUCAUUGAUUGGUUAUGAAAGAUAGCAAGAUUAAAAGGGACAGUUGGGGGUAUUCAUAUUCAAUAGUUAGAGGUGAAAUUCUCGGAUUUAUGGAAGAUGAACAAGUGCGAAAGCAA